UGUGAAGUGGGCCUAAUAGGAGCUGUAUGAGUGAUCGCAUCUUUUGGUCCGUGGGCUCUGGGAUGGAUCUUCAUCCCUAAAAUAAGACUCGAUCGUUGUUUAUUUUUCAGUGCUUUCCGAAUUAUCUUUAUUGUACUUCCACAAUGCUUUAAGAAAAUAAGAAAUACUUUGAUCAUUUAAUAAAGUUAUUAAUAAUUGAUAAACUAAUAGAUAAUUAAUAUUCGGUAAAUUAAUAGAUUUUUCUUG
Molecule: long non-coding RNA, 246 nt
Filed under: Malus domestica (apple)
Lineage: Eukaryota; Viridiplantae; Streptophyta; Magnoliopsida; Rosales; Rosaceae
Description: long non-coding RNA (MDOM_LNC014132)
Source: RNAcentral